GCCAAUUUUGCAUCAAGCUCCCAAUAUUGCUUAAAGUUUCAAUUACAAUACCUUUGCUAAGUAUUCAUUCACAUUUUUCUUUACAAUAAGUGGGUUGGGUAGCAAGAAAACAGUGGACAUUUCAUUUUAAGAUAUAACUAACACCCAAAUUUUACAUUUUUUUAAAUUUCAUAUUAUCUUACAUGUUUUCAUGUGCACUAGCAAAGAGGACUUGAGCAUCCAUCCGAAGCUAUCUCGGCAAUGUACUCAUGCAUAAAACAUUAAAACCCAUGACUGGAUUUCAAUUCUACAUGAGUACAUUGGUGAGACAGGUUUAGACUACAACUCACUUGUGUUGCAGACAUGCAAAAUUAAGGGAAAGAAGUGAUGAUCAAAUGUUUACCUGCAAAUCCAAAAUG
Molecule: unclassified non-coding RNA, 398 nt
Filed under: Hevea brasiliensis (rubber tree)
Lineage: Eukaryota; Viridiplantae; Streptophyta; Magnoliopsida; Malpighiales; Euphorbiaceae
Source: RNAcentral